RNAcentral lists this small RNA (486 nucleotides) under Histoplasma ohiense. RNAcentral's name for it is "hypothetical lncRNA". Lineage: Eukaryota; Fungi; Ascomycota; Eurotiomycetes; Onygenales; Ajellomycetaceae. The record is from RNAcentral.
CACGAUCAACGACCGCCGCCGCCGCCGUUUUCCCUGUUGAACUCCCUGGAAAAGGACUCAAUUAUCUCAAGCGCAGCGGUCAAAUGUUGCAUCCGCCCUGAAAAUAUUCAAGAUAUAUAUCCCUGCACGCCCCUGCAAGAGGCUCUCAUCGCAUACACGGCAAGGACGCCCGGCUCACUUCAAUGUAGUUUUCGUUUCCAAUUGCCAAGGGACCUUGACGUGGUUCUGUUUAAAAAGGCAUGGGCAGAAGUGUGCAACGCAAAUCCUAUUUUACGCACCAGAAUUAUCAUGGCAGAUUCACUCCAAGCAUUUCAAGUUGUUAGUUUCGGAGUGGAGCCACAGUGUCAAUCAAGUGAAAAUGAAUCGGAAUUUCCAGAAACACUCAUGUCGUUCGGGACCCCGCUAGUUUCAAGUUCGAUCGUCGAUAAAGGGAAUGAGAUCGAGCCAUUGACCUUCAUCCUCACAAUUCAUCAUGCCCUAUUUGAC